Molecule: long non-coding RNA, 3751 nt
Organism: Macrobrachium nipponense
Lineage: Eukaryota; Metazoa; Arthropoda; Malacostraca; Decapoda; Palaemonidae
Exons: 3
Source: RefSeq, a predicted model, not a curated record
GAAGUAUACGUUAAAUGGGUUUUAUAACAAUUUAUUACAUCCCAUAGGAAAAUGAACGUUCGGGAUUUAUUGUGAAAGGCCGUCAUUUACAAGAAUUCAUUUUCUAAAAGAACGAUUUCAAAUUUAAUAUUAUGUGGGGUGUGAUUUACAUGAUGAAAUAGAAAAUGUAUGUUUGAAAUGUUUAGAAUUAUUUUCUUUCUCAUGUGAGAGAUACUACUAAGAAUUAGAAAAAUGAUUCUGGAAACUUGAAAAUGUUUUGGCAGAAUUAUUAUGGGAACUAGGGUGGAAGUUGGAACUCAAAUUUGGAACCUAGUAUCAACCUACUUCAACCUACAUGCUACAUCAAGUAACCAAGUUUCAACUGGGCAACAUACGGCCGGACGUCAGUCAUGACGGUAGAGAUACCCUUCAGAUCUAUUUAAGUGAAAUAAAGUCUCCUUUGUCAAUCAUUCAGCUUCAAGACUAAGAAAGGCCAGACCCCCAAGAGCAUCUACGAAGAUUAGGUGCUACGCAUCAUCUGCGGAUAGUGCGUGUUCCAGGCAUGAGCCUGGAUAACUUUCCUAACUCUUGAUCAUCUUUCAAAAGAUAUGGGAGUGGGAACUCUAUUUUCCUGGUUUCCCAAGGAGUUGAUGCUCAGCUGGAAUUCAUAAAUAAAAUUUCCCUUAGGACAAACUCGGACACUCCGAUGUGAUGAAGAAGCAUCCCGAGAACUCUGAUGCUAGUGAAGAUCGACACGGACAGUAACACAAUUAUGUACUCGAAGGUUCCGUGGUGGGAAGAUGUGGAAACCUCUUUCUCGUUCUCGGAAGACGCCUCACAGACUGAACACGUUCACAUACUUGAAGGGGAGAGCCACGUCUGUACUAGGAUGGAGAAACACCUUUCUCAGAAGAUGCCACAAGUCUCGAAUUCUCCAACGGGAGGGGAGAUGGAGGAGGAGGAAAAUGCAACGUUUAUCUUGCCCUACAAUUUCUACUAGAAACUCUGGGAUGUCUACCAAACAACUCUUGGAAGAACACUUCUGACGGGUUACCGACCGCUAUGGCAUCAUAGACAAUGAUGGAAGUUAUAUCAUGGUAACAGGUGGAGGAGAGACAUCACUGAAGUCGACGUCACAGGCAGUUAUAUCCGAGUGACGUCAUGGUAUUCGGACUGGUAGCCCAAGUCAAUGGUUUUGAUGACAGCAAAGAUGGCAAAAAAGGCCUUCCACCACCUCCUACAUCAACCAGAGGGCCUCCCCAGAACACAUACAUGUGACAGACGCGAAGAAUUUCCAAGGAAAUUCAUCACUGAAGGAAUAGUUCGAGAGAUCGCCCUUUAGUUGAAUGCAGCGGUGUCAAACUGCUGUCGGAAGAAGCCAUGGUGUCACACAGCAGAUUACUGUUAAGGAGAGAGAGAGAGCGAGAAUGAAAAUGUUAAAACAAAAUAGUACUAAAGAUAUAUCUUAAGACAAAAGUCAAACAUUGUAGAGAUGCAAAGCAUGCUGUAAGGUUGGUAUCCCCGCAUGACAACAGUAUUAUCUGCAAGCAAGCGUCUCUGAUGACAGCAAGAAACACACUGCCAACAGUACUAAUUGCUUCCAAAGUCUCUCCUCACAACACCACUACACAAAAGAUAAGUGAAGUGUCAGGGGCAAGUGAAGUAGAGGGGCUUUCAAGUUCUGAGCAAACACCACCGCCGCUGCCAGACUUUCAGGUGCCUGUAAAGAAACAUAACAUGCUCUAUCCCUCAGAAAAGAUUAUUUCUAUCCUGAGAGGUGGGAAAAAAAAAGAAUCAUUUAUAUAAGGAUGGAGGGGAAGACAGGAGCGAGCCAUGCAACCCACUCCCACCAAAAUCACGGAGAGACGAUUAGACAAUCACAACUGGCCUUGCAAGUAGACGAGAUCUCAAUUGUACGCCAUUAAAAUCUGUGAUGGACUGUGGUCAGCCUUCUACUUGCAUUGUAAAGUUACUCCUAUAAUACCUCUGGUAGAAGGGCAACAGAAGGGAAGGCACAAGUAACACCAGAGCAGUUUUACAAAAUCAGCUCCCUUGGGCACAGGCCUCUGUUCUUUCUUUCCAGUUCAUCGGCAACAUCUGGAAGGGAACUUAAGUCAACUUGAAUCUUAACAUUACAGCGAUGUAAACAUUAAACGUACGGACCACAUCUAUCUUUGCAGUGUUUAUGUUGAAUUAUAUCCAAGAGCCUGGCUAACCAUUCUCAAAUUAUUUUUCAUGCAUUUCUCUUAUAUCACAGAUAUGUCAUAAAAUAAACACUUUCCUUUACCUUGAAAUUCAAUAACGAACCUAAACCUCAAUACUUUUGAUAAACUGCUAGUUGCUCUAUUAUUAAGCCUUAAGGAGCUCUAUUAUGCCUUCCCCCCCAAAAAAAAAAACUGCACGAAGGGAAGGUCUGUGAAAGAUCGGGCCAGAGUUGACAUCUGCCUAUUAGAUGAAGCUGACCAUAUGCCAGAACGGCAUUCCUUCCGUGAGCAGCACCGAAAUAGCAGUGCGAUCGUUGGACAUGAAUCUUCACAAAAUUAGAGGCAAACUCAACUUCGCACAGAAGCCAGUAAACUGAAAAACAAGAUUUUAGAUGCCAUUAAAAUUACUUAAAUAAUUCAGACAGGGAAAACUCGGAAACAGUAAUUUACUAACUAUUAUAUUAACAUGUUAGACAACCUUGCUAACCAUUUUAUUUAAUUCUAACGUGAAUAACAUGUAUUUAGAAAUUUCUUUAAAUCUAAUGUGAAUGACAUUAUCAUUGUGAUAUUGACUAAAAACUAAACUAUAAUUUUUAUGCACAAAGUCCCGAGUUACCAUUGUAAGCAGGAAUCCUUAUUUCAAGAACAGUUUAUUAUACCCGAAUAAUAAAAGCCUCCCUAGACAGCAGAAAGACCAAACACACAUCCAAACAGGGUUUGCCCGAUCAGACAGUUUUCACAUUCCCCUACACUUAUGAGUUAAGGCAGGCAGUAUAACCUCAAGGCAAAACUGAAGGAUGUACAUGUACCAAUGGUAUACGUACCAAAAUGUAACAUCAAUCUUCCUUGGAAGAAGACUACUUGACUUUUACAUUAAAACGCCUGUGCAUUAUCAAGUAGUAACAACUGGUUCUGUAAGUGUCAGACUCAAACACACACAAUAAAAGGAAAGAUGUGCCUUUUCAAAGAAUACUAAGGUAGUGUGCAGAAACCUGUUUACAAGUUAUAGAAGAUCGCCAAACGAAAUCGCACCAUUUCUUGAACUCUGUACUUCUCUGAGCACAACUGCAACUGUGCAUGCAGCAUGCACUCGAUAUUGUGCGUUUAGUAGUUCAUAGAAGUGUUUUUUGUGUGCGCGCGCUUAUUAAUAAGGCCAAAAGGUGAGAAUAAUAUUGUUUGUUUUAAUUAUUUUGAGCCACAUUAAUAAGAUAUAAGUGUAGUAGCCUAGGCUACCUACCAUGUUGUUGUGCAUGUUCCAUUAAGCUAAGUAAAGUGAACUACAUUUUGUUUUAUAUGUGUAGGCUAUUCUGUAUUUGUUUUUAGGGGUACUAGUAUAGUAUAUAAGUGGCCUAGCCUAGGUAAUAAGUUAGGAAACUAAUAAAUAAAUGCAGUUUACAUAAUUGACUUAUGCCUAGCCAACCCAGUUAGCCUGGGUAAACUUUAUUUUAGUGCUCACUGAGUUUUUAGUAAUGUUUUACUUUGUUGCCCUUUCAGUUAUCACAGGCUAUGAGGGCUAAGAUGUACCAGCAGUAUGAAACUUAUAGAUGUAAUAAAGCCCCGUAAAUGAA